GCAAGAAGCCACAAAGCUAUAUGUGAUACGUAUAACCUUAAAUUCAAAAAUAAAUGAAGGAAAAGAAGAAUCAAUAAUUCCAAAUUGAACAAAAGAAGAUCAGCAGACACCAUGAAAAAGUGCAUACAAAUUGAAAAUAUUGAACCAUAAAAUGUGGUAAGCCCUAUAUCUCAAGUUUAAGAUAUCUACCAAGCAAAAUCUGUUGCAAAGGCAAACUAUGCAUAAUGGGACAAGAAGAAAAAUAAAGCAAAAGCACAUAUGCAAUAGAGAUAUCUUUUUUCUCACAG
RNAcentral lists this unclassified non-coding RNA (287 nucleotides) under Hevea brasiliensis (rubber tree). The record is from RNAcentral. Lineage: Eukaryota; Viridiplantae; Streptophyta; Magnoliopsida; Malpighiales; Euphorbiaceae.